Molecule: non-coding RNA, 87 nt
Organism: Cordylochernes scorpioides
Lineage: Eukaryota; Metazoa; Arthropoda; Arachnida; Pseudoscorpiones; Chernetidae
Source: the annotation of a GenBank genome assembly
UGUCCAAUGCGGGACUCGAACCCGGGUCAUAGUGGUCGAAAACCAAACGGUUUACCAGCCUUCAUAAAGCUAUUUACCUAAUUGAAU